UAUCCCACAUGCUAGUUCAAGAACAACUUCAGGCUGGCCAUUUACAACCCAAGCUCAGUCCUUGGAACACACCCAUCUUUGUAAUCAAGAAAAAAAUCUGGCAACUGAGAUUAUUACAAGAUCUCAGGGCAGUUAAUAGUGUUAUUGAGCCCAUGGGAGCCUUACAACCAGGGCUUCUUUCUCCUACAGCUAUCCCCUUGGAUUAUCAUUUAAUAGUAAUAGCUUUAAAAGAUUGUUUCUUUUCUAUACCUUUGAAGCCAGACGACUGUAAAAAGUUUGCCUUUAG
This 286-nucleotide non-coding RNA is filed under the name Marmota monax (woodchuck). The record is from RNAcentral. Lineage: Eukaryota; Metazoa; Chordata; Mammalia; Rodentia; Sciuridae.